Molecule: long non-coding RNA, 1195 nt
Organism: Canis lupus familiaris (dog)
Lineage: Eukaryota; Metazoa; Chordata; Mammalia; Carnivora; Canidae
Exons: 2
Source: RefSeq, a predicted model, not a curated record
CAGGCCAAUGGAGGAUUUCUCUUGCCAUCUCUCUCUCUCUUUCCCUGAAUGCAGGGGGACUCUAGAAGAGUCCCUGGGUCGCCCCACUUCCACAGCAAACCUAUAGUUGUAAUUCUUUCAGUCCCUUCUAGAUAAGAUGUUUUAGAGCCAAUCUAGAGCCACACCUGUUUCUCUUGGGAUCAGGAAUGUCUAACUGGAGUGAAGACAGUGGGCUAGUCAGCUAUGCCUACCCUACCCCGACUUCCUCAAAUGCUUUGGGCCUCCGUGCUUGAAUCCCAGGUAGACAUUGAGCAUGUGUUGAAUGUCUCUUGACUCUGCUUCCUCACAGUAGUUAGUUCCGGCCUCAGGCAAGAUGGCGGCAGCAGGCUCUGCUCCCUGUCAAGGGAACUGGUCAUCCUACAUUGCAUUUUUAAUGUUAAUCUUUUAGAAGCUAUGGAGGUUACUUUUUUAGUGAAGAGGAAUGCCUUCAACUGUCCUUAUCCUAGGAGAGCGUGUUUAGUCAUAGAUGCGGGUUGAGUCCUACAGAACAAGGCUAGUGAGAGGUCCUCGUUAGCAUGCUUGGUCGUCACAGGGUUGGCCAGGAAGCUUCGACAGUUGAACCGUGGCAAGCGAGAGUUUCCAACGCACGGUGGACAGCGCACUACCACAAGCUUUCUAACAGAUGUAGUUUCCUGAAAUAAAUAUUCAAGGUCUGAAGGUUACAGUCUUCGAACUUCAAAAUAAACAUUCAAAUAAUCCAGGAAAACUUCCUUUGUCUUAGUAAACAGGCUUAUAUUUCACCCAAGUGUUAUGGAAACACACAGAUAAAAUAUCCACUUCCCUUGUCUGUCUAAACAAAAGCAUGUUGGUAAUCCCAUGCACUGUUCUCUCAGAGCUUCCAUUCCCAGAGCUCAGCUUCUGGUGGUCUCAUGGUUCCUGUGGCUUCCUGUCUCAAUGUGAUCGUAUCCAAGGCAGGAUUUGAGCCAGGACCCCAAAACCUGAGUCCACUCUGACCACAAAGCACGGAGCUCAGAGUCUUCUUGGAGAAAUGCUUGAAGAGAAAACAAUCAUCCUACACACUGAGUCCCUAUGCUGUGCAGACUUGUCUCCAGUCCUCAAGAGCUUCUGUUCUGGCCGGGAAGCUCCCUCCCUAAGUAAACCCAUGAAUAGAUAUGAAUUUUAGAUCAUGAGAGAAGUACAGUAAUUGCUUCUGGCA